This 478-nucleotide ribosomal RNA is filed under the name uncultured bacterium. Its description in RNAcentral is "partial 16S ribosomal RNA". It matches the Rfam family "Bacterial small subunit ribosomal RNA", at positions 28 to 523 of the family's 1533-position model. The record is from RNAcentral.
GACGAACGCUGGCGGCGUGCUUAACACAUGCAAGUCGGACGGUAAGGCCCUUCGGGGUACACGAGUGGCGAACGGGUGAGUAACACGUGGGUGAUCUGCCCUGCACUUCGGGAUAAGCCUGGGAAACUGGGUCUAAUACCGGAUAGGACCACUGCCUGCAUGGGUGGUGGUGGAAAGCUUUUGCGGUGUGGGAUGGGCCCGCGGCCUACCAGCUUGUUGGUGGGGUGAUGGCCUACCAAGGCGACGACGGGUAGCCGGCCUGAGAGGGUGACCGGCCACACUGGGACUGAGAUACGGCCCAGACUCCUACGGGAGGCAGCAGUGGGGAAUAUUGCACAAUGGGCGCAAGCCUGAUGCAGCGACGCCGCGUGAGGGAUGACGGCCUUCGGGUUGUAAACCUCUUUCAGCACCGACGAAGCGCAAGUGACGGUAGGUGCAGAAGAAGGACCGGCCAACUACGUGCCAGCAGCCGCCGUAA